This 236-nucleotide ribosomal RNA is filed under the name uncultured Actinomycetales bacterium. Its description in RNAcentral is "partial 16S ribosomal RNA". It matches the Rfam family "Bacterial small subunit ribosomal RNA", at positions 96 to 334 of the family's 1533-position model. The record is from RNAcentral. Lineage: Bacteria; Bacillati; Actinomycetota; Actinomycetes; Actinomycetales.
UGGCGGACGGGUGAGUAACACGUGGGUAAUCUGCCCUGCACUCUGGGAUAAGCCUGGGAAACUGGGUCUAAUACUGGAUAUGACCUUUCUCCUUAUGGGGUUUGGUGGAAAGUUUUUCGGUGUAGGAUGAGCCCGCGGCCUAUCAGCUUGUUGGUGGGGUGAUGGCCUACCAAGGCGACGACGGGUAGCCGGCCUGAGAGGGUGAUCGGCCACAUUGGGACUGAGAUACGGCCCAG